AUCUACCUUUAGGAAUAGAAUAACAGCUGGAAACGGCUGCUAAUACUGUAUAUGCUGAGAAGUAAAAUGGGUUUCCGCCUAGAGAUGAGCUUGCGUCUGAUUAGCUAGUUGGUAAGGUAAAAGCUUACCAAGGCGACGAUCAGUAACUGGUCUGAGAGGAUGAUCAGUCACACUGGGACUGAGACACGGCCCAGACUCCUACGGGAGGCAGCAGUGAGGAAUUUUCCGCAAUGGGCGAAAGCCUGACGGAGCAAUGCCGCGUGAAGGAUGAAGGCCUGCGGGUUGUAAACUUCUUUUCUUACAGAAGAAAUUGACGGUAUGUAAGGAAUAAGCAUCGGCUAACCCUGUGCCAGCAGCCGCGGUAAUACAGGGGAUGCAAGCGUUAUCCGGAAUGAUUGGGCGUAAAGCGUCUGUAGGUGGUUUUGAAAGUCUAUUGUCAAAAACCAAGGCUUAACCUUGGACCGGCAAUGGAAACUUCAAGAAUAGAGUACGGUAGAGGUAGAGGGAAUUACCGGUGUAACGGUGAAAUGUGCAGAUAUCGGUAAGAACACCAAUGGCGAAAGCACUCUACUGGGCCGCAACUGACACUGAGAGACGAAAGCUAGGGGAGCGAAUAG
Molecule: ribosomal RNA, 617 nt
Filed under: uncultured bacterium
Lineage: Bacteria
Description: bacterial SSU rRNA
Rfam family: Bacterial small subunit ribosomal RNA
Source: RNAcentral